GGCCGCGUGGCCUAAUGGCUAAGGCGCUAGAUUUCGGCUCUAGAGAUUGGGCGUUCGAAUCGCCCCGUGGUCG
This is a non-coding RNA of Coniochaeta pulveracea, 73 nucleotides long. The record is from the annotation of a GenBank genome assembly. NCBI's taxonomy places the organism in Eukaryota, Fungi, Ascomycota, Sordariomycetes, Coniochaetales, Coniochaetaceae.